AUUUAUCAAGGUCUCGGUAAGCGUUAUCAGCCUCGCCUUCGGCUCGGCUGAUAACGCUUACCGAGACUGACCUUGAUAAUU
Paramuricea clavata is the source of this 81-nucleotide non-coding RNA. NCBI's taxonomy places the organism in Eukaryota, Metazoa, Cnidaria, Anthozoa, Malacalcyonacea, Plexauridae. The record is from the annotation of a GenBank genome assembly.